This 300-nucleotide ribosomal RNA is filed under the name uncultured Sulfophobococcus sp. RNAcentral describes it as "partial 16S ribosomal RNA". It matches the Rfam family "Bacterial small subunit ribosomal RNA", at positions 496 to 795 of the family's 1533-position model. Lineage: Archaea; Thermoproteati; Thermoproteota; Thermoprotei; Desulfurococcales; Desulfurococcaceae. The record is from RNAcentral.
GGUAGAGCCGAGCCGGGAGCGGGGGGAAUACGGGGGGGGGAAGAGUUGGUCGGAAGUACUGGGCGGUAAGGGAGCGUAGGCGGUUCGCUAAGUGGAAUGUGAAAACGCUGGGCUGAACCCAGAGCCUGCAUUCAAUACUGGCGGGCUAGAGUGCUGGAGGGGAUAGCGGAAUUCCUGGUGUAGCGGUGAAAUGCGUAGAUAUCAGGAGGAACACCGGUGGCGAAGGCGGCUAUCUGGACAGAGUCUGACGCUGAGGCGCGAAAGCUAGGGGAGCAAACAGGAUUAGAUACCCGAGUAGUC